Oenanthe melanoleuca is the source of this 844-nucleotide long non-coding RNA. RefSeq lists it as uncharacterized. The transcript is spliced from 2 exons. The record is from RefSeq and is a predicted model, not a curated record. NCBI's taxonomy places the organism in Eukaryota, Metazoa, Chordata, Aves, Passeriformes, Muscicapidae.
UCAGGGUGGGAAAGGAACCCCCCAGGGACACCCCAAAUAUUCCAGGGUGGGAAAGGGACACCCCAGGGACACCCCAAAUAUUCAGGGGUGGGAAAUGAACCCCCCAGGGACACCCCAAAUAUUCAGGGUGGGAAAGGGACACCCCAGGGACACCCCAAAUAUUCCAGGGUGGGAAAGGAACCCCCCAGGGACACCCCAAUUAUUCAGGGUGGGAAAGGGACACCCCAAAUAUUCCAGGGUGGGGAAAGGGACACCCCAAAUAUUCAGGGUGGGAGAGGAACCCCCCAGGGACACCCCAAAUAUUCAGGGUGGGAAAGGAGCCCCCCAGGGACACCCCAAAUAUUCCAGGUGGGAAAGGGACACCCCAAAUAUCCGGGGCGGGGAAAGGAACCCCCAGGGACACCCCAAAUAUUCAGGGUGGGAAAUGAACCCUCAAUUUUAGGACCCCCCAAAUGUGACAGGGACCCCCUGGUGUCAGGGGAGGGACCCCCAGGACCCCCCUCAAGCGCUCCAGGGUGGGGAGAAGGGACCCCCGGCACCCCCCAGGCUCACGAGGGGUUUUUAUGGCAGUGUUAAUAUAUUUUUAUUUAUUUAUUGACCCCCCCAGAGUGAGAGCGCGGGUGGGACGGGCUCUGGGUGUUGCCCCCUCCUCAUUUUUGCCUCAUUUCUCACCCGGGGGGGCUCUGGGUCUGUCCCCCUCCCCUCCAUCACCUCCAGCCCUCCCGCGCCCCCCGGGGGGGCCGUGGCCAUCGGGAGGGGGUUCGGGGCCGCCCCCUCCCCUCGCACUGUGCAAUAGCAGCCCCCGCCCCAGGGGCCUGUAAAUAAAAGCUGCUGCGGUAUUUUC